CCUACGGGAGGCAACAGUAGGGAAUUUUGCGCAAUGGGCGAAAGCCUGACGCAGCAACGCCGCGUGAUCGAGACGCCCUUCGGGGUGUAAAGAUCUGUCAGUGGGGACGAAACUUGACGGUACCCACAGAGGAAGCACCGGCUAACUCCGUGCCAGCAGCCGCGGUAAUACGGGGGGUGCAAGCGUUGUCCGGAAUCACUGGGCGUAAAGAGUUCGUAGGCGGCACGUAAAGUCUGGUGUUAAAGGCAGAGGCUCAACAUCUGUACGGCACUGGAUACUUGCGAGCUAGAGUGCGGUAGAGGUAAAGGGAAUUCCUGGUGUAGCGGUGAAAUGCUUAGAUAUCAGGAGGAACAUCGGUGGCGAAGGCGCUUUACUGGGCCGUAAUUGACGCUGAGGAACGAAAGCCAGGGUAGCAAAUGGGAUUAGAUACCCUUGUAGUC
RNAcentral lists this ribosomal RNA (440 nucleotides) under uncultured bacterium. RNAcentral's name for it is "partial 16S ribosomal RNA". It matches the Rfam family "Bacterial small subunit ribosomal RNA", at positions 338 to 795 of the family's 1533-position model. The record is from RNAcentral.